UCUCCAGCUGUUUUUGGACUACUGUUCCCAUCAUCCCUGACCACUGGUCCUGCUAGUUAGGGAUGAUGGGAGUUGUAGCCUCAAAACAGCUGGAGA
Non-coding RNA from Podarcis lilfordi (Lilford's wall lizard), 96 nucleotides. Lineage: Eukaryota; Metazoa; Chordata; Lepidosauria; Squamata; Lacertidae. The record is from the annotation of a GenBank genome assembly.